CAACCUCCCUCCUGACAUCUAGUGGCCACUACUCACAUAAUUAAAUGGGAAUUUCACAAGGUUCUUUUGAGAAAACCAACAGUUGUCAGCAUUUAUCAGAACAAUGAAUGCCUUUUUUCUUGGUAAGGCAAUCAUAAAGAAAAACACGGUCAACGAACUCCCCAAGCUUCCACACGUUAAUUAAUAUUUUAAUUUAAAACAAGGUUAAUCUGAGUAACAAUAAAUCCAUAAAAGAAAAACAAUCAGCAGAGAAGCACGAACGAACUCCCUCUUGUCUCCUCUAAUUAAAAUACUCUUUUCACACUCUCUCCCUGCUUUUCAUUUUCUCCACCUCUGUUCUAACACCACCAUCCCUAUUGGAUUAACCACGACGGUGGUAACAGGAAUCUCCGACGACACUUCUGUGUAGCCGUGGUGGCAAGUCGUGAGCGCUCAUAACUCAGAGGAAAAUCCUACCCUUAUCCAAGCAAAUACUUAAAAACCCAAAUCUAGCCAUGUAGUUUCCAAAUCAAAACAAAGAUCCAAAGAACCGAAGCCAGAAAACAACGAAAACAAAGGAUCCAGAUCAAAGCAUAAACAAGCAAGAGACCUAAAUUUUCAACUCCAAAUUAAACUUAAUACAACAGAAAUCUCAUGUGAUAAUCAUGGGGGUUAUGGUAUAUGAGGCGAUGUGAACAAGGUGGUAACCUCAAAUCAUUCAAAGGAGAAGUUUAAAUACCAAAUUGGAGCUAGUCCGACGUUCGACUCCGGUAAAGGCGAGAGUAACGGCGCUGGAAAAGGUCCCUUUAUCCCAGUGAUGGAUGCUCUUUAUAUAGAGCUUUGGAGGUACGAGGUUUCUCACUCCUGAGCUGGCAAAGAUUCCAAAAAUCCGUUAGGAUCAAAUCCUUUCUAGAUUUUGGUGUGGUUCCAGGAAUGAAGGUGGUGAAAUCUGUUUCUAUUUUGUCCGUAGUGAGUGAGAACUUAUCUUCUGCGAUUACGUGGCGCUUGCAAGAAUUUCUUGAUGAUGCUCUGCGAUCUGGAACACCUUGGUACAUCCUGAGAAAUGGCCACAGACGCCAUUCAAAUGAAGCAUCACUUUAUUCCUUCUUACUUAUAUUGCGCCAUAGCUUUGGGUUUUCCCUUGACACAACAUUGCACUGUUGUUGCUGAUUGCAGGAUCAUGUUGGUUUUGUUCAUGAUAUGUAUUACUAGUCCGCUUAAUUAAUCCAUGAAGUGGAUGUGAAUGCCCCCAUGACAAGGAUACUGCCAUGCUAUUUUUUGUACCAUUUGUCUGCAUUAUUUGGCUUGAUGUAGGCUAGGAUUGGUUUCUGCAGGUCUUUGUUACAAUAUUCAUGUAUCGAUGCGGUUUGGCCAAUGGUUGCAGGCUUGUGCUCCGAUUUUGCAAUAGGUUUAUGUUGUGACAUGUGCAUGCCUGCAAUGUUUGGAAGGUUGUGUAAUUUAAACCAUAAUUGUGUUUGUAUUAAGCAUGUUCAUGUCUUCAUUUCGUGACUUUGGGGCAAACUUUUAUGCAGCAGCCUUCUCACUUGGUUUGCCUGAUAAUGCAGGACAUUGGUCACAAGGUCUUAUAAUUCCCAGUCGGUAUACCACAGUCACCUCUUGUUCAUAGCCUUCGCUUGCAGCAUUAGCUACCACCGCUCGCGAAGUGCUAAGCCAUGAUUUCAUUAUGCCGUUGAUACUCAGUCUGGUGCGGUUUCUCGAAGGAACGUUGACACUGCAGGGGUGAUGCACACUUUAUCAUGUUGGUUCACAAGAUAAGUGUAGCAAUUCAUAUUUUGUAAUGACCUUGGACUUUAGCUUGUCUUGUAUGUAGAAUCUAAGACUUCAUAUCACGGUUGCAACCGGGUAUGCUUUCUAUAGUAGCUAACCUCUAGGCCAUUUGCAUCUUUGUUUCGUUUUUAUGUGUUGCCUUUCAAUUUCAUGACAGUGAGUAUCUUGCAACAGGUAUUGUUGAUUUUACCGAUGUAGCCUAUGUCAUGACAAUUUUGGUACAGAUGUGACAUUCGGCUGGUGAAUGUAUCUUGGUUGACGCAUACAGCAUGAGAGAAUUCCCAGGGUGGUUUCAUCUAUUAUGGACCUAUGCAUUGUAACUUUUUCUUCAACUUGUUAUUUCUGGCGUUGUUAGUAUUGUAGGUUCAUGGUUAUCGAGACAGACUAACUUAUGGCGGCAUGAAUAGUUGUGGACCAAGGUCUCUUCUUCACGCAUCAUGAUGUUGUAACAUGUCUGUACCUGUUUUAAGUCUAAAAUCUUUUAUCUGCGGAUCCAAACCUUGCGUAUUUAGUAUUUCUGCAAUCUUAUUCCAAUUUUUCUUUAUAAAGUUCCUAAUGUCUCAGGGAGCAGAAGUGUUGCCUGAUCAGUCCACUUCAUUGUUAUCAAUUUGUUUUUGUUUUUGAAAUACAUCAACACAGCCGGGACAUUAACACAGCCGGAACAUUAACACAACCUUCAUUAUCUUCCUGUGUAGGCGCUUCAUUAUCUUCCAACUGCUACUUUAAUAAUGCAUUGAGUUAUCAUCAACGUCGUCAUUGCAUAUGUCUUCAUGGCUUAUGGCUUCGUCUUCAGAAAAUGCCUCUGUCACUUUACACGACUUCCAUAAGAUGCCAAAUGUUUGUAUUGAUCUUCCACUGUUGCUCACAUGUUAUUCAUAUUGUUGCUCACAUGUUUUUCAUAUUGUUGCUCAAAUGUUGUUUACGUUCGCUAUGAGUGUAGGCAAACUGUUAUUGUGAAUUUUUGACAGGUUUUGAUCUGGUUUUAGACAGGUUAAGACAUCUUAUAUAGGUGGAUGCAAAACUUAACGGGAAUGGACCAGACAUUGAAGAUCAACAAUUAGACGCCCUUUAUUCAGAACUUAAUCUUUCUUGACUCAAGUAAAGUAACACGGUGUUAACAUUGUGUAGCACACUUAGAACAUGGGUUAACUUUUGAACAAUUAUUACAUGCUUGUAAUUUUAAUUGCUAUCCCGUGAUUUUGAUGCCUACAGGUGUCCCCUUGGGCACUUUUACUUUGCCAUUUGUGAGUAGUGAUUUGGAAUUUGUAAUGUAAACCUGGGCUUGAAGCAAUUCUCAUACUUAUUUAGAA
This is a long non-coding RNA of Lathyrus oleraceus (garden pea), 3077 nucleotides long. RefSeq lists it as uncharacterized. The record is from RefSeq and is a predicted model, not a curated record. The transcript has 4 exons. Lineage: Eukaryota; Viridiplantae; Streptophyta; Magnoliopsida; Fabales; Fabaceae.